This is a long non-coding RNA of Manis pentadactyla (Chinese pangolin), 753 nucleotides long. RefSeq lists it as uncharacterized. The transcript has 4 exons. The record is from RefSeq and is a predicted model, not a curated record. Lineage: Eukaryota; Metazoa; Chordata; Mammalia; Pholidota; Manidae.
CCAGGUCCUACCUUCCCAGCUCAAAGGCACCAGCAGCAGGAAAAGCACAUGAAGGUCAUGGUGUGGUCCUACCGCCUGCUUUGCUCACUGCGGGCCACAUCCGGGGCUUUGUGUGCAGUAGGCACUGAGCGGAUGAAGGCAGAGGCUGAAGGACUGAAGAGCUAUCAGCACAGUUACAUGCAUUGUGACGGGCGUGCUUGCGGGAAGUGCCAGGGAACUCACCUUGCCCACAGAUGGGUCAUGCGCAGCCCGCUUUUCUGAUGCCCCUGGGCACAAAGCUACCUGCCUGGUGAUCUGCCUACUGCCUGUGUUCUCUGGAGUACAUCAGCUCAGGGCAUCUCCCUGAUGGUUUGGGACAGCAGAGGCAGAUUCAGGGCUGACAGGUGACUGCAUGAAAUGUCGUCAUGCCUGUGGUGGUUCAGGUCAUCCGCAGUCACCAGCAGCAGUGCGGAUGGAAGAGCAGUGCCUGAAUGGGGCGUGUUUAGAAGGGACAUACCAAUGAGUCAGAGCUCCAUCCCAGGCAUGAGGGUGAGGGAGGGACACGGAUGAAUUUGAGCCCCUGACCCCCGUCAGGGUGCCACCAGGAAUGUGACCGGGCAUGCCCAGGCUUCCAGGGCCAAGCCUGAGUGCCCUGAGGGAGCCAAGAACCGUCCCCAGCCCAGCUGGGACAACUGUGCCAGUUCUUACUGGUCGCCCAUAUUCCCUGCUCCAAGGUCACCCGCUCCAUGAUGUCUCCUGGACCCCUCCCAGCCA